GUGAGGGUGUGGUGAGUGAGUGUACGCAUGUGCUGUGUGUGAUGUUAGGAGUGGACGUUGUAGGUGCACCUCGCAUUGAACAAGGGCCGUGGUGGCGUCACCGCUACAUUGUAGUGAACGACGCCAGUUGGUGUGUGGUGAGUGUGGUGUGAUGGGUUGUGUUUGUGGCAAAUGGAGUGUUGUAGUUGGAUUUGUCAAUCAGAUCGUCACCCUACACAACAUGGCCACCACCCUACACAACGUGACUUGUCACCCUACACAACAUGGCCACCAACCUACACGUGUCUUGUCACCCUACACAACAUGGCCACCAACCCUACACAACAUGGCCGUCACCACGGCCAUGAGGAAGGGAGAAGACGUGGAGACGUCUAAGAAGUGGUCGGCGGGUCAGAACCGGCAGCACGUCACUCACCGCAACACGGCGAAGUUGGACCGCGAGACGGAGGAGCUGCACCACGACCGCGUGCCCCACGAGGUGGGCAAGAUCAUCCAGAAGGGCCGCCAGGACAAGGGGCUCACGCAGAAGGACCCUCGGCCACGAGAAUCAACGAGAAGCCCAACGUGAUCACGGAUUACGAGUCUGGCAAGGCGAUCCCCAACAACCAGAUCCUGGGCAAGAUCGAGAGAAUCAUCGGGUUGAAGCUGAGGGGCAAGGAGCUGGGAGAGCCGAUGGGUGCAGUCAUCCCCAGCAAGAAGAAAUGAAGCCCUGCUGCCCUUCCAGCCCUGCCCCUGCCUGCCUGCCGCCCGCCUGCCCUUCUCCCUGUCGGUCCCCUGCGUGACGUGAAGCUGCUUCGGCUGGGCUGACGACGACGACGACGACGCCCGCCAGUGCUGCGCUGGUUAAUGCGCGCACACGCGUACACACACACUCGCACACACAUGCACGCACAUUCGCACACACACUCGCACACACACAUGCACGCACUCGUGUACGCGCACAUUCGCACACACACUCGCAC
This is a non-coding RNA of Petromyzon marinus (sea lamprey), 962 nucleotides long. Lineage: Eukaryota; Metazoa; Chordata; Hyperoartia; Petromyzontiformes; Petromyzontidae. The record is from RefSeq and is a predicted model, not a curated record.